AUUGAACGCUGGCGGCAUGCUUUACACAUGCAAGUCGAACGGCAGCGCGGGCUUCGUCCUGGCGGCGAGUGGCGAACGGGUGAGUAAUGCAUCGGAACGUGCCCAGUAGUGGGGGAUAGCCCGGCGAAAGCCGGAUUAAUACCGCAUACGACCUGAGGGUGAAAGCGGGGGACCGAAAGGCCUCGCGCUAUUGGAGCGGCCGAUGUCGGAUUAGCUAGUUGGUGGGGUAAAGGCUUACCAAGGCGACGAUCCGUAGCUGGUCUGAGAGGACGACCAGCCACACUGGGACUGAGACACGGCCCAGACUCCUACGGGAGGCAGCAGUGGGGAAUUUUGGACAAUGGGGGCAACCCUGAUCCAGCCAUGCCGCGUGAGGGAAGAAGGCCUUCGGGUUGUAAACCGCUUUUGUUCGGGAAGAAAUACUCUGGGCUAAUACCCCGGGGGGAUGACGGUACCGGAAGAAUAAGCACCGGCUAACUACGUG
RNAcentral lists this ribosomal RNA (484 nucleotides) under uncultured bacterium. RNAcentral's name for it is "partial 16S ribosomal RNA". It matches the Rfam family "Bacterial small subunit ribosomal RNA", at positions 29 to 507 of the family's 1533-position model. The record is from RNAcentral.